CAAUAAUCAAUUGCAGUGCAUUGUUAACCUAUGAAUCUCUUUAAUCAAUGUUCCCAAGAAACACCUUGCUGAAAACUCAGUAGCACAGAGUGACCUUAAAAAAGAGUGCAUUAGCUGCUGACCACAUUAAUUAGUUUGUAUCUAGCUCAGCACUAGUCAAGGUUUGGGUUUUUUUCUACAAUCCACCGGCCACAUACAUUUUAUAUUAAACCUCACUUUUCCUGUGAAUUUGUAGGGGAUGACAUCACACAAUAUUCAGGACUUUUCAUCUCCAGCAGCGAGGGAUUUGCUGGUCGAUACACUCUGUUACAAAAGGUGACUUAUUGAUGCUGCCAGAUGAAAUGCUUGGCUGAUCUUCAGGAUAUCUUUCAGACAAUAUACAUUUACUCACCAAAGAUACUCUCCUAAACCUGACAAGCUCUCACAAUUCAGUUCUUAUAUUCUUAACAUUCAAUGAGGAUGAAACACAGCUGCCCCACAAGUCAUCAAUGCUCAUCUUGAGAAAUGCUCAUUAGAAGUUUCUGCAUCUUGGAAUAUUUACUAAUAAGGACAAGUGGAGAAUAAAUUUUAGGACUUCAGAAACAUCUGAAAACAGUUCAAGAUCUACCUCCUAUGACAAGAGACUGAGAGAGCCGGGACUGUUCUGUCUGAAGAAGAAUAGGCUCAACGGGGAUCUUAUCAGUGUGUAUGAAUACCUGAAGGGAAGAUGCAAAAAAUACAGAGAUAGGCUUUUGUCAGUGAUCCCCAGCAGCAGAGUAAGAGGCAAUGGGCACAAACCAGCACACAGAAGGCUCCCUCUGAACACCAGGCUACACUUCUGGCACAGACUGCCCAGAGGCUGUGGAGUCUCCUUGGAGAUAUCAGAAGCUACCUGGACAUGGUGCUGAGAAUCCUUACUUGGGCAGGGGUUGGAGGAGAUUAACAUGGAGGUUCCUGCAAACCUUAGCCAGCCCAAAAUUCUGUGAAUCCCUAUCAGUUAGGGUAUUAUGGGGGCAGG
RNAcentral lists this long non-coding RNA (997 nucleotides) under Coturnix japonica (Japanese quail). RNAcentral's name for it is "lncRNA (ENSCJPG00005008873.1)". The record is from RNAcentral. Lineage: Eukaryota; Metazoa; Chordata; Aves; Galliformes; Phasianidae.